Molecule: transfer RNA, 66 nt
Filed under: Ixodes scapularis (black-legged tick)
Lineage: Eukaryota; Metazoa; Arthropoda; Arachnida; Ixodida; Ixodidae
Description: tRNA-Phe
Source: RNAcentral
GUUCUUAUAGUUUAUAGAAGAAAAAAAUAUUACACUGAAAAUGUAAAGAAAUAAUUUUUAAGAAUA